GAUGAACGCUGGCGGCGUGCCUAAUACAUGCCAGUCGAGCGAACAGACGAGGAGCUUGCUCCUCUGACGUUAGCGGCGGACGGGUGAGUAACACGUGGAUAACCUACCUAUAAGACUGGGAUAACUUCGGGAAACCGGAGCUAAUACCGGAUAAUAUAUUGAACCGCAUGGUUCAAUAGUGAAAGACGGUUUUGCUGUCACUUAUAGAUGGAUCCGCGCCGCAUUAGCUAGUUGGUAAGGUAACGGCUUACCAAGGCAACGAUGCGUAACCGACCUGAGAGGGUGAUCGGCCACACUGGAACUGAGACACGGUCCAGACUCCUACGGGAGGCAGCAGUAGGGAAUCUUCCGCAAUAGGCGAAAGCCUGACGGAGCAACGCCGCGUGAGUGAUGAAGGUCUUCGGAUCGUAAAACUCUGUUAUUAGGGAAGAACAAAUGUGUAAGUAACUAUGCACGUCUUGACGGUACCUAAUCAGAAAGCCACGGCUAACUACGUG
RNAcentral lists this ribosomal RNA (497 nucleotides) under uncultured bacterium. Its description in RNAcentral is "partial 16S ribosomal RNA". It matches the Rfam family "Bacterial small subunit ribosomal RNA", at positions 28 to 507 of the family's 1533-position model. The record is from RNAcentral.